UAUGUUCGGCUUCAUGAUAAUUCUACGUGAUUUUUUGUUGCAAAUUAUGUAAACAUCAUUUAACUUUUACAUGACGAUUCAGAUAUUGAAACUGACUCUAAUAUACCGGACCACCCUAUAGAGUUUACGUGAAAAGUGCAGUGGAUGAGAAUCACAUGUGAAUUCACGUAGAAGUAACAUGAUUUAUUUUUUUAGUGAUAGCAGAUAUUAUCUGCUAGAUCUGAAGUUCAACUCAACGGUUCAGUUUAAAAUAAAACAAAAGCUUCUAAAAUUCUGAGUAUUAAUACGUUUUGUUAAAGUAUUUAACAUAUAAAUAAAGUUUUUCUAGAUUGAAAACAUUUGAAAAAAUCUGAAAAAUGAGCGGAAGAUGAAGGCCACGACAUUUUUUCCUGAUGAAACCUUGGUACGACCAAAAAUAUACGAAAAAGCAAAAAGUACACACAAAAAGUACUGCUCAUAUGACACAGGGUUCGUAUGACCACAACGUUCAAUCUGUUGAGCUGCCGCAAAAUGCACUAGGCCAUCAGAGAUUUAAUCAAUUCAACAAUGAACUUUCCAGUUCCGAUACACGCGGCGAAACAACCAUAGAUAAUGGAUGUGUACUUGUAGCUCCGAGGAAGCAAACUGUCUUGAGGGUAAUGAUCUAUAUACCAACCAAAAUCAGAUUGGGGAAGCUAAUGAAACAGAUACACAUUUUGAAUCGGAAAGUUAUAAUGGUGACUAUAUAAUAUUCACUGACAAGAUGAAAGUGUCAGAUGUACUGUUCAUGGUGCUAAAUCUGUACGUCAAAUAUAAAUUUAGUCAGGAAACAGUCGAAGAUUUGCUACGAAUGCUAAAUUUAUUAACAAAACGGAAACCCUUUCCCGAAAGUUUUGCUACAUUUUCGAAAAAGUUUCCUGACCCUUACAAUAUCGAGAGAAACUACUUUUGCACAAAUUGUCAGUGCGGAUAUGAAAAACAGCCUUGUCCUGAAUCAACAUGUCCUGUUGAAAAUUGCGGUUCAACUGCCAAAGAUUUUUUUAUUACUAUUCCAAUUGAAGAACAAAUCAGAGAAACUUUUAAGAAAUAUUCAGAAGAGAUCAAAGACUAUAAAGAGAUGAUUGGAACGAAAAAAAAUAGCAGAUAUCAACUGUGGUAAUCUCGCACAGUCCCUUCCGGGGUUCACAACAGAAAAUAUCAUAACGCUAUCUGCAAAUGAAGACGGCGCAGUGUCAUACAAAUGUACUAACAAAAAACCUCUGUAUCCCCUGUUUUUGACUGUGAAUAAUUUACCACCCAGAUUGCGAUUUAGAAAGAACAAUCUGAUUUUGGCAGGACUUUGGUUUAAUAGGGGUAAGCCGAGCAUGGGUCUGUUCCACAAAAAAAUUUUACUAGAACUGCAAAAAAUACGAAAUGGGAUGUAUAUUGGAACUGAGCUUUAUCAAGUAGUUCUCCUGCAAGUAUGUCUAGAUUCAGUUGCAAGAUGCGAGUUGUUUUGCUCUAAGCAGUUCAAUGGCUGGUACGGCUGCACAAUUUGUUUGCACCCAGGAAAAUUAAUGUAUAAUCAAAUACGAUAUCCGUACAAGAAAGUAAAUAUUAGAGAAGACGAAGAAACCCGUAAAUUGAUGCUGGAAGUUAUUGAGUCAACUUCACAUGAUUCAAAAUUUGGAAUAAAAGGCAUUUCCAUUUUAAUAGGAGUCCCAAAUUUCAACAUAAUCGACGGACUACCCGUUGACUAUAUGCAUAUGGGACUUUUGGGUGUCACCAAAACGUUUUGGGAGCUGCUUAUGAAAGCGGAUAGUGAUAGCAAACAACGCCCGUACUAUAUAGGAAGCCAAAAACAACUCAUAGAAAGCAGGCUCCUCUCAAUUAGACUUCCAAGCUGUUUUCUACGUCGACUGCGUAAAAUCGAAGAAUACCUAAAAUUUAAGGCUUCGGAAUGGGAAACCAUACUUUUGCAUUGUAUUUACCCAUGCUUGCAUGAUAUAUUACCUCUCAAAUACCUAAAUCUUAUAAUGCUAUUUGCUACAACAAUUUUUGAAUUGCUAGAAGUGGUUAUUACGGAACACACUUUAGCAGCAUGCGACAAGCGAAUGAAAGAGUUUGCUAAAUGUUACGAAAAACUUUUUGGUGAAGAGAGUAUGCUGUAUAACAUUCAUCUUUCAACUCACUUGGUACGAACAGUAGCUAAUUUAGGUGCGUUGUAGAACUCAUCGCUUUUCCCGUAUGAAAAUGGAAACGGAAUGUUGUUAGAUUUUCAGUCAUCCAAUAAUCACCCAGUGCUACAGGUCGCGACAAAAUUUAUACUACAUCGGAUCUGUCAUUACACAACAUUACCCGACAACUCUCCAGUCAAAGAUUGGACAAAACGUCACUGGCAUAUGCAACAAAAACAUAUUUUAUAUGAACAGGAGGCGAAGUGUAGCCUUCCAGACGACAUUAUUGUGAGUAAUGAAAUGAAACGAACAGAAUUCAAUGACAUCGGAAAAGGCGAGUAUGAUGGCAUUAAUAUUUGUGCCAAAUCAGUAUGCGAGAAAUUCGCAUACGAUGAUUCGUUCAUUAGGCUGAACGGUAAUUUUUACCACAUAAAUAGAAUUUUGCUGGAUCCCGAAGGACAUAUUUGUGUGGUAGCCGAGAAACUUCUUUCAAAGAAAAUAUAUGGAAACAUGUUUGGAUAUCAAUAUUCAAAACAGCAAUUUUUAUUACCUCUUAAUGAAUCACUUAGGCACUUAGGCAAUGCGUGAGUGUAAAAGUAAAUUCGGAAAGUAAUCCUACAAUAACUAAAAGAUUUAUAUCUACGUGUAAA
Topomyia yanbarensis is the source of this 2785-nucleotide RNA transcript. RefSeq lists it as uncharacterized. Lineage: Eukaryota; Metazoa; Arthropoda; Insecta; Diptera; Culicidae. The transcript is spliced from 5 exons. The record is from RefSeq and is a predicted model, not a curated record.